This 475-nucleotide ribosomal RNA is filed under the name uncultured organism. Its description in RNAcentral is "partial 16S ribosomal RNA". It matches the Rfam family "Bacterial small subunit ribosomal RNA", at positions 335 to 801 of the family's 1533-position model. The record is from RNAcentral.
ACUCCUACGGGAGGCAGCAGUGGGGAAUAUUGCACAAUGGGCGCAAGCCUGAUGCAGCCAUGCCGCGUGUAUGAAGAAGGCCUUCGGGUUGUAAAGUACUUUCAGCGGGGAGGAAGGCGAUAAGGUUAAUAACCUUGUCGAUUGACGUUACCCGCAGAAGAAGCACCGGCUAACUCCGUGCCAGCAGCCGCGGUAAUACGGAGGGUGCAAGCGUUAAUCGGAAUUACUGGGCGUAAAGCGCACGCAGGCGGUCUGUCAAGUCGGAUGUGAAAUCCCCGGGCUCAACCUGGGAACUGCAUUCGAAACUGGCAGGCUAGAGUCUUGUAGAGGGGGGUAGAAUUCCAGGUGUAGCGGUGAAAUGCGUAGAGAUCUGGAGGAAUACCGGUGGCGAAGGCGGCCCCCUGGACAAAGACUGACGCUCAGGUGCGAAAGCGUGGGGAGCAAACAGGAUUAGAUACCCCAGUAGUCCCAUGAU